UACGAAGGGUGCAAGCGUUACUCGGAAUUACUGGGCGUAAAGCGUGCGUAGGUGGUUUGUUAAGUCUGAUGUGAAAGCCCUGGGCUCAACCUGGGAACGGCAUUGGAAACUGGCUUACUAGAGUGCGGUAGAGGGGUGUGGAAUUCCCGGUGUAGCAGUGAAAUGCGUAGAUAUCGGAAGGAACAUCAGUGGCGAAAGCGACUUCCUGGACCAAUACUGACGCUCAUGUGCGAAAGCGUGGGGAGCCAACAGG
This 253-nucleotide ribosomal RNA is filed under the name uncultured bacterium. RNAcentral describes it as "partial 16S ribosomal RNA". It matches the Rfam family "Bacterial small subunit ribosomal RNA", at positions 524 to 776 of the family's 1533-position model. The record is from RNAcentral.